Molecule: ribosomal RNA, 497 nt
Filed under: uncultured bacterium
Lineage: Bacteria
Description: partial 16S ribosomal RNA
Rfam family: Bacterial small subunit ribosomal RNA
Source: RNAcentral
GAUGAACGCUGGCGGCGUGCCUAAUACAUGCAAGUCGAGCGAACGGACGAGAAGCUUGCUUCUCUGAUGUUAGCGGCGGACGGGUGAGUAACACGUGGAUAACCUACCUAUAAGACUGGGAUAACUUCGGGAAACCGUAGCUAAUACCGGAUAAUAUUUUGAACCGCAUGGUUCAAAAGUGAAAGACGGUCUUGCUGUCACUUAUAGAUGGAUCCGCGCUUCAUUAGCUAGUUGGUAAGGUAACGGCUUACCAAGGCAACGAUGCAUAGCCGACCUGAGAGGGUGAUCGGCCACACUGGAACUGAGACACGGUCCAGACUCCUACGGGAGGCAGCAGUAGGGAAUCUUCCGCAAUGGGCGAAAGCCUGAUGGAGCAACGCCGCGUGAGUGAUGAAGGUCUUCGGAUCGUAAAACUCUGUUAUUAGGGAAGAACAUAUGUGUAAGUAACUGUGCACAUCUUGACGGUACCUAAUCAGAAAGCCACGGCUAACUACGUG